UCCUAUGUAGUAUAGUGGUUAGUAUAUUCCGCUUUCAUCUUCUCAUGGGAUCCGGAAAGUCCCGAGUUCGAACCUCGGCGUAGGAA
This 86-nucleotide transfer RNA is filed under the name Colletotrichum zoysiae. RNAcentral's name for it is "tRNA-Glu". It matches the Rfam family "tRNA". From Rfam's summary of the family: Transfer RNA (tRNA) molecules are approximately 80 nucleotides in length. Their secondary structure includes four short double-helical elements and three loops (D, anti-codon, and T loops). Further hydrogen bonds mediate the characteristic L-shaped molecular structure. tRNAs have two regions of fundamental functional importance: the anti-codon, which is responsible for specific mRNA codon recognition, and the 3' end, to which the tRNAs corresponding amino acid is attached (by aminoacyl-tRNA synthetases). tRNAs cope with the degeneracy of the genetic code in two manners: having more than one tRNA (with a specific anti-codon) for a particular amino acid; and 'wobble' base-pairing, i.e. permitting non-standard base-pairing at the 3rd anti-codon position. The record is from RNAcentral. Lineage: Eukaryota; Fungi; Ascomycota; Sordariomycetes; Glomerellales; Glomerellaceae.